Molecule: ribosomal RNA, 357 nt
Filed under: Triticum aestivum (bread wheat)
Lineage: Eukaryota; Viridiplantae; Streptophyta; Magnoliopsida; Poales; Poaceae
Description: partial small subunit ribosomal RNA
Source: RNAcentral
AUGAAGAGGGUUGGAGACAUUGUUUCUCUUUUCCAGAGAGAAGCUAUGCAAAUAGGGAAGAAGAAGAAGGCGGAGAAUAUGUCGGAUGUGGUUGAAGAGCAAACCAGCGAAGUUGUGUGUGUACCGAUUGUGAUUGAAGAGCAAAGUGAAGAACCAAUAUUGUCUAUGUCGAAUGUGACCAUAGAGCAAACUGAAGAUGUCUCACCGCCAUCGCCACCGGUUUAUGAUUUUAUCCAUCUUAAACAUGAUCCUUGGGAAAGGCUACCCAUUGCAAGUUAUCCUGUCAAUGAUCAAGAUGCAGUUCGAAGAGCAUAUAUCCUUAAAAAUCCAUUCAAACCUUAUGCACAUAACUUUUAA